This is a small nuclear RNA of Rhinolophus ferrumequinum (greater horseshoe bat), 111 nucleotides long. NCBI's taxonomy places the organism in Eukaryota, Metazoa, Chordata, Mammalia, Chiroptera, Rhinolophidae. The record is from Ensembl.
GUGCUCUCUUCUGCAGCACAUACACUAAACUGGGAACAAUGCAGAGAAUAUUAACAAGGAGGAGAAUAUGAGCAAGGAGGACAUGCAAUUCAUAAAGUGUUCCAUAUUUUU